CCUACGGGAGGCAGCAGUGGGGAAUAUUGCACAAUGGGCGAAAGCCUGAUGCAGCGACGCCGCGUGAGGGAUGACGGCCUUCGGGUUGUAAACCUCUUUCAGCAGGGAAGAAGCGAGAGUGACGGUACCUGCAGAAGAAGCGCCGGCUAACUACGUGCCAGCAGCCGCGGUAAUACGUAGGGCGCAAGCGUUGUCCGGAAUUAUUGGGCGUAAAGAGCUCGUAGGCGGCUUGUUGCGUCGGUUGUGAAAGCCCGGGGCUUAACCCCGGGUCUGCAGUCGAUACGGGCAGGCUAGAGUGUGGUAGGGGAGAUCGGAAUUCCUGGUGUAGCGGUGAAAUGCGCAGAUAUCAGGAGGAACACCGGUGGCGAAGGCGGAUCUCUGGGCCAUUACUGACGCUGAGGAGCGAAAGCGUGGGGAGCGAACAGGAUUAGAUACCCUGGUAGUCCACGCCGUAAACGUUGGGAACUAGGUGUUGGCGACAUUCCACGUCGUCGGUGCCGCAGCUAACGCAUUAAGUUCCCCGCCUGGGGAUACGGCCGCAAGGCUAAAACUCAAAGGAAUUGACGGCUGAGACNGCGAGACGACACGAGGAGAG
This 595-nucleotide ribosomal RNA is filed under the name uncultured bacterium. RNAcentral's name for it is "bacterial SSU rRNA". It matches the Rfam family "Bacterial small subunit ribosomal RNA", at positions 338 to 948 of the family's 1533-position model. The record is from RNAcentral.